This 441-nucleotide ribosomal RNA is filed under the name uncultured bacterium. Its description in RNAcentral is "partial 16S ribosomal RNA". It matches the Rfam family "Bacterial small subunit ribosomal RNA", at positions 339 to 795 of the family's 1533-position model. The record is from RNAcentral.
CUACGGGCUGCAGCAGUGAGGAAUAUUGCACAAUGGGGGGAACCCUGAUGCAGCAACGCCGCGUGGAGGAUGACGCAUUUCGGUGUGUAAACUCCUUUUAUAUGUCAAGAAAAUGACGGUAGCAUAUGAAUAAGCACCGGCUAACUCCGUGCCGGAGCAGCCGCGGUAAUACGGAGGGUGCAAGCGUUACUCGGAAUCACUGGGCGUAAGGGACGCGUAGGCGGGUUGGAAAGUCAGGUGUGAAAUCCUACAGCUUAACUGUAGAACUGCACUUGAAACUUCUAAUCUAGAGUAUGGGAGGAGGAGAUGGAAUUAGUGGUGUAGGGGUAAAAUCCGUAGAUAUCACUAGGAAUACCUAAAGCGAAGGCGAUCUCCUGGAACAUUACUGACGCUAAGGCGUGAAAGCGUGGGGAGCAAACAGGAUUAGAUACCCCCGUAGUC